Molecule: unclassified non-coding RNA, 282 nt
Filed under: plant metagenome
Description: partial contains small subunit ribosomal RNA, internal transcribed spacer 1, and 5.8S ribosomal RNA
Rfam family: 5.8S ribosomal RNA (bases 235-282)
Source: RNAcentral
UUUCCGUAGGUGAACCUGCGGAAGGAUCAUUAUUGUAUAACCGAGGUGCGAGGGCUGUCGCUGACCCGAAAGGUCGUGCACGCCCGAGUGCCCUCACACACAUCCAUCUCACCCCUAUGUGCACCACCGCGUUGGUCCCCCUUUGGCUUGUUCGGAGGGGGGCUUACGUUUUCACACAAACUUUGUAUGCAGUGUAGAAUGUAUUUUUUGUUUUUGCGAUCACGCAAUCAAUACAACUUUCAACAACGGAUCUCUUGGCUCUCGCAUCGAUGAAGAACGCGC